GUAGACGCGAAACCAAGUGAUCUACCCUUGGGCAGGUUGAAGGAUGGGUAACACCAUCUGGAGGACCGAACCAAUAAGCGUUGAAAAGCUUCUGGAUGACCUGAGGGUGGGGGUGAAAGGCUAAUCAAACUUGGAGAUAGCUCGUACUCCCCGAAAUGCAUUUAGGUGCAGCCUUGACUUAUACUGGCAUGAGGUAGAGCGACUGAUAAGAUGCGAGGGCUUCACCGCCUAUCAAGUCUUGACAAACUCCGAAUGCGUGUCAGUUCUAUGUCAGGAGUGAGGGCAUGGGUGCUAAGGUCCAUGUCCUAAAGGAGAACAAUCCGGACCAACAGCUAAGGUCCCGAAAUGAAUACUAAGUUGAACUAACGAAGUCAGAUUGCUAAGACAGCUAGGAUGUUGGCUUGGAAGCAGCCAUUCAUUUAAAGAGUGCGUAACAGCUCACUAGUCGAGGAGUUUGGCGUGGAUAAUAAUCGGGCAUUAAGUAUUCUACCGAAGCUUUGGGAUGUGUAAACAUCGGUAGGGGAGCAUUCCACUCAGCGUUGAAGGUGAGGCGUGAGCCUUGCUGGAGCGUGUGGAAAAGCAAAUGUAGGUAUAAGUAACGAUAAAGGGGGUGAGAAACCCCCUCGCCGAAAGACUAAGGUUUCCUGAUCAACGCUAAUCGGAUCAGGGUUAGUCGGGUCCUAAGGCUCAGCCGAACGGCGAGGCCGAUGGCAGAACCGGUUAAUAUUCCGGUACUACCUCAAGGAGUGACGUGGAGACGGAGCAGUGACAGUGCCGCGGACUGACGGAAUAGUCCGUUAAAGGGUGUAGAUGUUGAUUCCUGCAGGCAAAUCCGCAGGAAGAGUCGAACCUGACAGUAUGGAGCGUCCUUCGGGACAAUCCAAUAGUGCACGUAAGCAUACUCCCGAGAAAAUCCGCUAAACUUAAUCCUUGUGGUACCCGUACCGCAAACGGACACACGUAGUCGGGUUGAAUAUACUAAGGCGCUUGAGUGAUUCACGGUUAAGGAACUAGGCAAACUGACCCUGUAACUUCGGGAUAAAGGGUCCUCAGGGUGACUUGAGGCGCAGAGAAUCGGUCCAGGCAACUGUUUAACAAAAACACAGGGCUGUGCGAAAUAGAAAUAUGAAGUAUACAGCCUGACACCUGCCCGGUGCUGGAAGGUUAAGAGGAGAUGUCAUCGCAAGAGAAGCAUUGAAUUGAAGCCCCAGUAAACGGCGGCCGUAACUAUAACGGUCCUAAGGUAGCGAAAUUCCUUGUCGGGUAAGUUCCGACCUGCACGAAUGGUGUAAUGAUCUGGACGCUGUCUCAACCGUGAGCUCAGUGAAAUUGUAGUAUCGGUGAAGAUGCCGAUUACCCGCGAUGGGACGAAAAGACCCCGUGAACCUUUACUAUAGCUUAACAUUGAAUUUGGGUAAUUGAUGUGUAGGAUAGGCCGGAGGCUUCGAAGCAGGUACGCCAGUAUUUGUGGAGCCGCUGUUGAAAUACGGCCCUUUGAUUAUUUGAGUUCUAACCCGUGGAUACGGGGACACUGUUUGGUGGGUAGUUUGACUGGGGUGGUCGCCUCCAAAAGCGUAACGGAGGCUUCUAAAGGUGCCCUCACGACGAUUGGUAACCGUCGGCAGAGUGUAAUGGCAUAAGGGCGCUUGACUGGGAGACUAACAAGUCGAUCAGGUAGGAAACUAGAGCAUAGUGAUCCGGUGUUUCUGUAUGGAAAGGACAUCGCUCAAAGGAUAAAAGGUACUCCGGGGAUAACAGGCUGAUCCCUCCCAAGAGCUCAUAUCGACGGAGGGGUUUGGCACCUCGAUGUCGGCUCGUCACAUCCUGGGGCUGGAGAAGGUCCCAAGGGUUGGGCUGUUCGCCCAUUAAAGUGGCACGCGAGCUGGGUUCAGAACGUCGUGAGACAGUUCGGUCUCUAUCUAUCGUGGGCGUAUGAAAUUUGCGUGGCUCUGACACUAGUACGAGAGGACCGUGUUGGACUGACCUCUGGUUUACCGGUUGUGCCGCCAGGUGCAUUGCCGGGUAUCUAAGUC
RNAcentral lists this ribosomal RNA (2033 nucleotides) under gut metagenome. Its description in RNAcentral is "bacterial LSU rRNA". It matches the Rfam family "Bacterial large subunit ribosomal RNA", at positions 709 to 2755 of the family's 2925-position model. The record is from RNAcentral.